Molecule: ribosomal RNA, 253 nt
Filed under: uncultured bacterium
Lineage: Bacteria
Description: partial 16S ribosomal RNA
Rfam family: Bacterial small subunit ribosomal RNA
Source: RNAcentral
UACAGAGGGUGCAAGCGUUAAUCGGAAUUACUGGGCGUAAAGCGUGUGUAGGUGGUUUGUUAAGUCAGAUGUGAAAUCCCCGGGCUCAACCUGGGAACUGCAUUUGAUACUGACAGGCUAGAGUGUGGUAGAGGAUAGUGGAAUUCCCGGUGUAGCGGUGAAAUGCGUAGAUAUCGGGAGGAACAUCAGUGGCGAAGGCGGCUAUCUGGACUAACACUGACACUGAGACACGAAAGCGUGGGGAGCAAACAGG